AAUGGGGGCACAGCACAGCAACCAUCUCAUUUUCUUACCUGUAACACAAUAAUAAUAAUAAUGCUUAAACUGUCGAUAGAUGGCAGUGCAGAAAUCUGUGUGCAGAACAGGAAAGUUAGAUGGCGUUGCUGUGCCCUCAUUCUGAGUGAUUGCAAGUAACGAGUGAAAUUUGUGUCAGCAAUUUUUCGUAAUUCUGGUGUGUUUCUAAGGAUUUUUAACUCAGUUAUAACGGUAUGUGAGACUCUGAAUUAGAGUAAUGAACUACUGCUGUUUGUCUCUUCCUAUCAUGCCAUUUCUCACUGACAAAGUUUACCUCUCUCCAGCCAAACAUUGCACCAAAUGGCAUACUCUUUUCUUGAGUUGCUAAUGAAUUCAAGUCCACAAGAAAUGGCUCCGCAACAGCAAGAUUAACAAUACCAUCAUCAGACUCGACUGUAAUCUUCAUCUACUUUGGAUUGUCAACCAUCUACUACCAGUUUCUUGCAGAUCCAGCAUUGGAAGUUUCUACACUUGGCCAAUCAUCAACAACCAUGAAUCCAGUCUUCACAGCUUCCCUUCUUUGCCAGCCAAGAACCAGAAUCAGUUAGCUUCAGCAUCCUAGCAUGAAAUCGUCAUUUUCAAAUGCCAUCUCAACUGUUUGCAGCCUUUAUCACUCUUCUUAGCCUGACAACAUGCAUACUGUUAUGCCAGCCUUUUUAAAUACUCUUCAUGCCAUCACCUCAUUAUGAAUUGUCAAGUUUUCAUUUGCAUUUAUGUUCAAAAAACGCUGUCAAGUAGUUAUCAUGCCGCCGUAUGAGAUUAAAAACAUAAUGCCCACAGCCGAGUGAAAGAGGGCAUCUCAAAAUCUUUGCGGCUCCAAAACAGCUGACGGGGAUGGCAUUCGGCGCAACGUGGAACUUCUCGUCUAUUUUGGUAUUGUUUGUGUGUGUGUGUGUUGUGUUUGUGAGUUAACCCGUUGGCUGCCACCCAUUUUGCUCCCAUUUUUUUUUUAGCUGUAGGGACCGCGCGCACUGCUCUGCCCCAUGGCCAUGGGGUAGGGCAGUGCUCCGCCGAAAGGCGGUUAGGCAAUGCACCAGUAGGGACUUCUCUUUGUUCGAUGCGGUGAUGGUUACCCGAGGGUGUGCAUUCCCUGUAAAGGUUUCCAUCGUCGUGUCAGCCCGGACUUGUCUUCGGACAAGUCCCAUCAGAUCGUGGAUCCUUCAGACGACGAUGCGUAGAUUGUAGACAACAACCUACGGGUUGAAUGGCUUGGCAGCCAACGGGUUAACUCAGUGUAUGUGUUUGUAUUGUAAUGUAUUGUAAUUUAUUGUAUAAUUAUGUAAUUGAAAACAGUGGUGGAAUUGUGGGAUGGAGGUGGGACAAUAAAUGAAAUUCCAUUUA
This is a long non-coding RNA of Daphnia magna, 1380 nucleotides long. RefSeq lists it as uncharacterized. Lineage: Eukaryota; Metazoa; Arthropoda; Branchiopoda; Diplostraca; Daphniidae. The record is from RefSeq and is a predicted model, not a curated record. The transcript has 6 exons.